GCUAGCGACGUGCCUAAGGUAUGCAAGUCGAAUGCCGAUUUAUCGGCAUGGCAGACGGCUGAGUAAUACAUGGGAAUCUACCUCAAACUCGAGAAUAGCCCAUCGAAAGGUGGUGUAAUACUCGAUAGUUCCGUUUACGGUAAAGCUCCGGCGGUUUGAGAUGAGCCCAUGUCCUAUCAGGUUGUUGGUGGGGUAAUUGCCUACCAAGCCUAUGACGGGUAGCUGGUUUGAGAGGAUGAUCAGCCAGACUGGGACUGCGAUACGGCCCAGACUCCUACGGGAGGCAGCAACUAGGAAUCAUGCGCAAUGGACGAAAGUCUGACGCUGCGACGUCGCGUGAGGGAUGAAGGUCUUCGGAUCGUAAACCUCUUUUAUCUGGGAACAAGUUCUGAGUGUACCAGAUGAAUAAGUGCCUGCCAACCACGUGCCAGAAGCAUCGGUAAUGCGUGGGGCACGAGCGUUAUCCGGAUUUACUGGGCGUAAAGAGAUGCGUAGGCGCCUUUUUAAGUCACUUGUAAAAUCUCCCCGCUCAACGGGGAAACUGCAAGUGAUACUGAAUUGGUUGAGUCAAGUAGAGGAGAGGGGAAUUCCUGGUGGAGCGGUUAAAUGCGUUGAUAUCAGGAGGAAUACCAAGUGCGAAGGCACCUCUCUGGACUUGUACUGACGCUAAGGCUCGAAAGUGUGGGGAGCAAAACGGAUUAGAUACCCGUGUAGUCCACACUGUAAACGAUCCCUGCUAGAUGUUUGCUCUGUUU
This 755-nucleotide ribosomal RNA is filed under the name uncultured organism. RNAcentral's name for it is "bacterial SSU rRNA". It matches the Rfam family "Bacterial small subunit ribosomal RNA", at positions 35 to 834 of the family's 1533-position model. The record is from RNAcentral.